UCACAACCUGCAUGGUCCAAGUAAUUUGGUGUUAGCUUCAGCAAUUUGUUUUCAGAGAGGGAAUUGGAAUGUUAAGUUUUCAGCUUCUGACCGUCGAUGCUAAAAUCCUGGGCUGCUUUUCUUGAGAACCAAGGUAAGAUGGUGGCUUUUCGAAGUGUUUCACUUAUUACCUGGCCUUCACAAUAUUCCAGAUAAGAAAACUAGAAUCCAUGUAUUAGAGAACUCGAUGUGACCAUUUUACCUUGAUGGUAUAAGGCAUGUUGUUGACUUCGGACCAGUUUCAGGUUAUUGAGCUCAUCAUUACCCUGAGAUUUUGAAGAACAUCGGGGUUUUCUCCUAGAAAUUUGAUAAGCCAUGUGAGAGCUGCGGUCGUGGUGUCAUGCCCUGCAACAAGCAGAGUUAAGAUAUUGUCCUUGAGUUGUGCAUCCGUGAGUUUAUCUGAAUCAUCAUCUGUUUCUUCUUUGCUAUGCUUUCUUAGGAGUGUCUGCAGGAAAUCAUGGUGAACAUCCUUUCCAUCCCUUCUCUUGGAGAUUAUAGAGUCCAGCAUUGCAUACAUCCGGUUCCGAGCCUGUUCCAUUUGAGCACCAUUAGAAAGCAUUUUAUUUGUUCACUGAGGGAGCAUGUUGGGGACAUCACCUCGAGACCACGGUGGAAUGCGCACCCCGGGAUCUUGAAAGGCAAGGAUGCAAAGGAGGAUGAUAUAAGCUUGAAGUUGGCGCGAAACUUCUCUUGCUCUUCUCCAUAUGGUUCCAAGCUCAUUAUCAUAUGGGCUAUCACCUUGAGUGUGAACUGCAGAUCAUUUAAGCAGUAGAAGAUUAGCGAAAACUCAUAACAAGCCUCAACAAAAUUGCAUCAGCAGUAUCUUCACACACAAUAGAAGCCUCCUCUAGCACAAAGACUCUUCUCCCAGCCCAUCCAUCCAGUGUCUUGAUGGCCAGAUCAUCAAUGAAUUGAAGGUAUUUCUUGAGUGCAUCUAUCGAUAGGGGCUCGGCGAUCAGUCGUCGGAGCCGCUUGUGCUCUUCGCCACUGGUUGUAAGCAAGCUUGUGGGGCCUAGCACCUGCUGCCCUGUAUAGAACAGGUUCAAGCUCACCAUCCCAUCUUUUCCAGACAGCAAUAUCUUGCUAGCUUCUCUUCCUGUCAUGAAGACAGUAAGCCUCCCCAAGACUCUUGUUUUGAACACUUUUCCAUACCUGAAAGAAGGAAGCAGAAUUUAGUGAUGAAAAAAUCAUUUCAAAUUAAUGUAUAAAGAGUAUACUCAGUUCUGCAAGAUUUAGAGUUCGAUG
Non-coding RNA from Elaeis guineensis (African oil palm), 1284 nucleotides. The record is from RefSeq and is a predicted model, not a curated record. NCBI's taxonomy places the organism in Eukaryota, Viridiplantae, Streptophyta, Magnoliopsida, Arecales, Arecaceae.